AUUGAACGCUGGCGGAAUGCUUUACACAUGCAAGUCGAACGGCAGCACGGGGGCAGCCCUGGUGGCGAGUGGCGAACGGGUGAGUAAUACAUCGGAACGUGCCCGGUCGUGGGGGAUAACGUAGCGAAAGUUACGCUAAUACCGCAUACGAUCUGAGGAUGAAAGCGGGGGACCUUCGGGCCUCGCGCGCUCGGAGCGGCCGAUGUCAGAUUAGGUAGUUGGUGGGGUAAAGGCCUACCAAGCCGACGAUCUGUAGCUGGUCUGAGAGGACGACCAGCCACACUGGGACUGAGACACGGCCCAGACUCCUAAGGGAGGCAGCAGUGGGGAAUUUUGGACAAUGGGCGCAAGCCUGAUCCAGCCAUUCCGCGUGCAGGACGAAGGCCUUCGGGUUGUAAACUGCGUUUGUACGGAACGAAAAGGCUCUGGCUAAUACCUGGGGCUCAUGACGGUACCGUAAGAAUAAGCACCGGCUAACUACGUG
RNAcentral lists this ribosomal RNA (484 nucleotides) under uncultured bacterium. RNAcentral describes it as "partial 16S ribosomal RNA". It matches the Rfam family "Bacterial small subunit ribosomal RNA", at positions 29 to 507 of the family's 1533-position model. The record is from RNAcentral.